This 301-nucleotide ribosomal RNA is filed under the name uncultured bacterium. RNAcentral describes it as "partial 16S ribosomal RNA". It matches the Rfam family "Bacterial small subunit ribosomal RNA", at positions 509 to 807 of the family's 1533-position model. The record is from RNAcentral.
CAGUCGCCGCGGGAAUACGAAGGGGGCUAGCGUUGUUCGGAUUUACUGGGCGUAAAGGGCGCGUAGGCGGACUGAUAAGUCAGGGGUGAAAUCCCAAGGCUCAACCUUGGAACUGCCUUUGAUACUGUUUGUCUUGAGUUCGAGAGAGGUAAGUGGAACUGCGAGUGUAGAGGUGAAAUUCGUAGAUAUUCGCAAGAACACCAGUGGCGAAGGCGGCUUACUGGCUCGAAACUGACGCUGAGGCGCGAAAGCGUGGGGAGCAAACAGGAUUAGAUACCCCGGUAGUCCCUGUCUCUUAUAC